UGCCCUUUCCCGAUAUAAAAUUCGUCCGAACAACCGUGCGUUGUAAAAACCCUAGCCCAACCGUGCGUUGUAAAAACCCUAGCCCUAAAGUCCUAAGUUAAUCGAGCUGUUGAUCGCAAUGGCAGAAGCUGAGAAAGUUAGCGGGAAGAUAAAGGAAUUUCUCAACUCUCAGGUCAAUAACGAGGAAAAUUGGGCUGUGAACAUGAAAAUUCUUCGAGCUGCUGGACUAUUUUUUGGCUCAAUAUUCUUCAUGCGCAAUUUUGGGGAUCUCAUGGCAAUAUGAAGUGGUUGUCAUAUGAUAUGAUGUCACUGCUGUCACUGCUUAAUAGACUGUAAAUGAUUUCCUCCUAUUCUACAUUACUAUUUUAUGCGGUCGAAUAUUUAUAUAUAUCUGCUGCUGUGUCAUGCAAAACUUGAUGUUAUCAUUACUCUUUAGUUGAUUGGUAACUGUUUUUCAUUCUGCUUGAAAAUUUUGACUUUAUAUUCAUCUUCGUGUUUGUAGUUGGACAAA
Molecule: long non-coding RNA, 511 nt
Organism: Dendrobium catenatum
Lineage: Eukaryota; Viridiplantae; Streptophyta; Magnoliopsida; Asparagales; Orchidaceae
Exons: 2
Source: RefSeq, a predicted model, not a curated record